This 502-nucleotide ribosomal RNA is filed under the name uncultured bacterium. RNAcentral's name for it is "bacterial SSU rRNA". It matches the Rfam family "Bacterial small subunit ribosomal RNA", at positions 1027 to 1529 of the family's 1533-position model. The record is from RNAcentral.
CCGUGAGACAGGUGCUGCAUGGCUGUCGUCAGCUCGUGUUGUGAAAUGUUGGGUUAAGUCCCGCAACGAGCGCAACCCUUAUCCUUUGUUGCCAGCGGUCCGGCCGGGAACUCAAAGGAGACUGCCAGUGAUAAACUGGAGGAAGGUGGGGAUGACGUCAAGUCAUCAUGGCCCUUACGACCAGGGCUACACACGUGCUACAAUGGCGCAUACAAAGAGAAGCGACCUCGCGAGAGCAAGCGGACCUCAUAAAGUGCGUCGUAGUCCGGAUUGGAGUCUGCAACUCGACUCCAUGGAGUCGGAAUCGCUAGUAAUCGUGGAUCAGAAUGCCACGGUGAAUACGUUCCCGGGCCUUGUACACACCGCCCGUCACACCAUGGGAGUGGGUUGCAAAAGAAGUAGGUAGCUUAACCUUCGGGAGGGCGCUUACCACUUUGUGAUUCAUGACUGGGGUGAAGUCGUAACAAGGUAACCGUAGGGGAACCUGCGGCUGGAUCACCUC